UAUAUAUAUAUAUAUAUAUAUAUAUAUAUAUAUAUAAAUUUGAUGUUAUAUUUGAAUUUGUAUUUUAAAAAUUUAAAUUUAAUAUAAUAUAUUUUGAAAUAUUAAAAAAAGAAAUAAUUGUUUCGGGUUCAAAUUUUCGGGUUCGGGUUCGGGUUUCGGAUUUUUGGUCGGGUUCGGGUUUGGAUAUGGAUUUUUAAAAUUCGUCGGGUUCGGGUUCGGAUUUUUAAAAAUCCGCCCCGAAUCCGACCCGUUGACAUCUUUGCCUCUCACCAAAUAGUAUCUUAAAAUUUAGUAUCUUAAGAUUUGACAAGUUUACCGACCAUCCCUAGCACAAGUGGCAAAAAGGUUGAUGGUUGGUAUCCGAGAUUCCAAGUUCGGAGGGAAAUGAGUAUUUUCUUCUUAUUAUCCUCUCACCAAAUAGUAUCUUAAAAUUUAGUAUCUUAAGAUUUGACAAGUUUACCGACCAUCCCUAGCACAAGUGGCAAAAAGGUUGAUAGUUGGUAUCCGAGAUUCCAAGUUCGAACCCUAAUUGAUUCACAUUUCCAGCUAAGUUUAUUUCUAAAUGAAAUAAACGAAGCGGGUAGCAUACUACUUAUCUCUCAAAAAAA
This 608-nucleotide long non-coding RNA is filed under the name Ananas comosus (pineapple). RNAcentral describes it as "long non-coding RNA (ACOM_LNC028550)". Lineage: Eukaryota; Viridiplantae; Streptophyta; Magnoliopsida; Poales; Bromeliaceae. The record is from RNAcentral.